Pogonomyrmex barbatus (red harvester ant) is the source of this 4229-nucleotide unclassified non-coding RNA. Lineage: Eukaryota; Metazoa; Arthropoda; Insecta; Hymenoptera; Formicidae. The record is from RefSeq and is a predicted model, not a curated record.
UGACUAUGAAUACCGGCCAUAGAUUUUCAGUGCUGGCAGUGAAUAUCGGAACGCAACCCUCGCGAGCAGUAACGAAAGCAGGAAGUGACAAUAAAAUCUAUGACGUCAUAUAGAAGAUAAAGUUUUGAAAGCUUAUUGUUGCGUGUAUCGGAACAGCAUUCGCAAUGGCUGCGUUCAGCAGAGAAAGUAGAUCAGUGAGCGUUCAGUGAUUCUUUAUUAUGAUUGGUUUCUACACUUACAUUCAACGAAGAUCUAAAGGCAAGGACCAAUCAUAUUGAAAAAUCACUGAGCGCUCACUGAUCCGCUUUCUCUGCUGAACGCAGCCAAUGCUGCCAGUAUUUACAGAAUAUCGGAACGCAGUUGAUAUGAAUACUGGGGAUCAAUCAUGAAACUUUUUCCCUAAGUGUGAACUCGUGAAAAAAAUGAAAAUUUUCAUAGAAAUAAAAAGUUUCAUAGUGAAUUAAUUUUUCCAUGUUAAAAUUAGUCGGUUAUAAUGGCUGCUGCACAGUGGAUUAUUCUUGAAGAAAAAGAAGAAAAUCAAAGGAAUGAAAAUUCAAUAUGUAUAAUGCGUAGAAUUUUAAGAAAUACUCAAGAUUCAUUUGAUAUUCCAAAAAAAGGAUUUCAAGAAUUAUACAGCAAAUAUGAUAACUAAAUGAUGAUUGGAUAAAUAAAAAGUGUUAUUAAACAUAUUGAUAGGUUAUCUUAAGAGGCAGCAAUCCAACUGUGCCAAGAUUUAUUAUUCCAUAUAUUCAAAGGAAAGAGACAAACAGCAAUAUCUCGUGAACUCAAGGAUUUUAUCAACGCAUUGAUUAAGAUUUUUAAUCUGCAUGUGCCAAGCAUCAAUAUCUACAGCAAUUCGUAUUGUUAUAGAGGCAUUUAAUAUAAAGCAUUGGAUUAAAUUUCCACAACUGUAUCAUGAUGUUUAACAUUAAAGAGCAGAAAAUUUUGGAUCCAUUGUAGAUUUCCAAAGCUAAUAGAUGUUAAUUGCACCAUGUCGCUAUUUGGCCUUCAGAAAAAAACAAAAAUAUUUAUAUAUUAACAGAAAAUUAUAUCAUUCGUUAAAUGUUUUGAUAGUUUCUGAUUAUUACGGAAAAAUUUUAGCUCUAAAUAGUGGGAAUGGGGAAAGGACGUAUGAUGCACGCGUCCGGAAUGCUUCAACUAUUUCUGCAUAUUUCUGCAUAAAACAGCAAUAUAAUAAUAGACAAAGAAAUUGUUGGUUGUUUGGAAUUCAGGAUACCUUUUAUUACCUUAUUUAAUGACACCAAAAUUGGGCCAAUCUGAACAUUCACCUUCUGCUCAUUACACAAAUGCUCAUGUAAGAACACGCUCAAGUGUUGAACGAACUAUCGGAGUCUUGAAGAGACGAUGGGGAUAUCUGAGAAAGGAAAGAAGAUUGCAUUAUUCAUCACAAUUUUCUGCACUUAUUGCCAAUGCGUACUUCAUAAUGUGGCCAAAUUCUAUAAUGUACCUUGUUACGUCUCGUCAAUCAGCGCAACGAUGAUUGCUAAUUCGCGUUUAAUGACUGAUUGGGGAAAUCGUCGAAACUGGAAUCAUGCAAUUAGAAGUUACUUACCUUUUGUGAUCAACAAGGAUUUUCCAGGAUUUCAGCUCGCUUCUGUAAGUAGAGUUCAUGACAAGGGUUGUCCUCAUGGAUGUUCAGUGGAGGAAAUCAGGGGCAGAUAAUAAUAACGGGCAUCACUUGAUACUCAAAUAUCGUCCUCAGUGAUGAUCGGUCGAAGAAAGCUUCGUAUGCGACAUGAGAAACAUAGUCAGUUCCCAGGAUGAAAGACAGAUUGAGCACCAUUGCUAUUUGUAGAUUGUAUAGUAGUCGACGUAUGACCUGGUUACAACCAUCGGGGGUUUUUGACAUUGUUGGGAAAUUUUGUUGAAGUAGAUUAUGGAGGUUUGAUAUUGAUUGGUUUCCAUCCACACAAUCUCAAGCACUACAAUGUGACGCGUGCAAGCGAUACUGAGAGGCACGGAUUAGGAACCAAUCUCGGGCAUUGUUUCCCGGGGUUAAGCAGUGCGCGCGUAACGCACAUUUACCCCCCGUGGUGAAUCACAAAAGUCGUUUUAUUUAAUAUUUAUCCCGACUAAGGAAACAUUUUACGUUGUUAAUGAAUAUAGUUGCGCUAAGAAAGGACUUAGGAGAGGUGCGAAAGAAUUAUUUUUUUAGAUUUUAGUAAAUUACUGUAUUAUAUCAAGAUCGGAUGAGGCCGUUUGAUCACGUUGCAAUUGACCACCAGUCACUCAUAGUUUGAAUAGAGGAAAACCUCUAGGCACUCGCCAUUAUGAGUGACUGUGGUCAAUCGCAACGUCAAACGGGUUGCUCUGACUUAAGUCUAAGGUUAGGACAAGAGGACUGAUUUUACAGGACCGUUCAGAUCUAGAUUUGCGAAUCCAAAUGACUGAGCGUGGAUACGUAUCGAAGUCUGGCGAGUGGGACCCGUUUGACUAUGUUGCAAUUGACCAUCAGCCACUCAUAGCGUUUGAACAGAGGAAAAUUUCUAAGCACCGGCCACUGUGAGUGGCUGUGGUCAAUCGCAAUGUGGUCAAACGGGACGCUCCCGUCCUUGACUGGAAUCUGCUCAUGGUCGAUAGUAGAACGCUCGACGGCACUGGAAUGGAGGUCGACUGUUGUCGACGCUCGGUCAUAGGUCGGUAUUCAUAAUGCGUUCUUAUAUUAUUUUAAGUUAGUUCUCAGAUUAUCUUAAGAUCAUGUUCAAUGAAAUGAACGUAUUACAUCUCGAAUUCAUACUUAAGUUGAUCUUAAAUAUGAGAACUGACUUUGAAUACCGGUCAUAGUCAGUUCUUGCUUCUUGUCCAGUGAUUGCUUCUCGACUAGAGGUUGGGAGCAAUUCAAACACUCGAAAUUUACGAACUGUAGUUCGUCAAACAUAAUGUGAGUUAAAGUAAUUAUAGAUUAAAGAAUUGUCUAUAAUUAAAAAUUUUACAAGGCACGAUCUGCACAAGAGAGUGUUUCCCUCGGGUUGAAUAUAAUCUUUCAGAUGAGAUUCUGCCUAAGCUAACUGACUUUCCCUAAUCUAUAUUUUAUACGCAAAGUGCAUACGUGGUACGCCAAAGGGCCUUAUUGGCGAUUGGAAGGCUCGAGAGCGAAUGCUCCACGGCAAUCCAACCACUUUUUACUUUUUCGGUUUUGCUAUUUUUUAAAUAUUUUUUUAUUUUAGCGACUUAGAAAAUUUUUAUGACUGUACUACAUAUUAAUUUGCUUGAUCGACAAGUAGCGUGACUGACGGGCAGGCUGUGAAGACUAUUACUUAUGUCGAGUAUAAAUUUCAUUUUAUAUAUUAUAGUUCUCGUAGGAAUGAGGGGACUUAUUAGCGCUUUCCUAGAUAAAAAUCUUCGAUUUUAUGUACACGACUUGUGAACAUUAGAUCUCAAAGAAUUUACAGCUUUAGGUUUGAAAAAAUAAUGGGACGUCAUAGCAAGAUUUGCUGAUUAUACAUCUAAUAAUUUCAUUUAUAUUUAAGUAUUGCCCUUGAUAUUUAUAAAGAAUUUUUGGAUCCAUAACUAGAAAAAAACAUGAUUAUUAAAAUAUUUAAGAUUAUUUAAAGAUCUUUUUAAGAACGAUGUAAUUUUACUUGCGCAACUCUUUAUUUCACAUUUGUAUCUUACAUAUCAAAGCAGCGGGUGCACUCAGAUGGAAAAUCAGCUUUGGAUUUAACAGACCACUGGAUGAAAUGUAAAAGGAGAUUACAAAAUAAUUUAACAGGAUUAAUUAAUAUAAAAAUGAGAGAACGUAAUAAUGAAAUAUCAAAAAAUUUUUCGAAGGCAAAACAUAUCUUCUUAAACGAUCUGAAAUAUCAUACAUUUCUUACGUAAAACGUGUUGUUUUCCAACAAUUAGGAAAAUAAUCUCUAGAGAAACAGUUAGAUUUCAAUCGAAUUGAAAUCGUAGAAGUAUGUGAUAAAUACCAGAGCUCCAAUAAUUUCAAAACAGUUUUGGAAUGAAUCCAAUAUGUAAGUGUAUGUCCGCAGAGGGAACAUAUAAGAUAUCCGAGAGCACGAACUUCAAACCGCUCCACCGCCAGAUUGGCAAAAUAAUAUAUUGGUGGAAUAAUUCGCUAAAUCCGUAUAUCACUGAUAAUAUCUGGAGGACCGCGACUUAACUUGCGAAUACGUAUUGCGCAUAAUUUAUUAUCACGUCGAUAUUCCGGUCACUUAUAUUAGAAUGCUAUGGUAAAAUAUAAGCAGUAAUCCAGUAGCGCA